GGUUCAUCAAUGCUAAACAAUAGCAAGAGUUUUUAGAUCAUAACAAAAUCAGAAAAAAUAAUAAAAAUUGAGUAAAAUAGAUUAAGCUUGUCGAAAUCAUGCAAACCAAAUGAUUUAUCACUUCUUGUGUUUGCAUCUCUUUGAAUCUUGUUCUUCAAUCGAUAUCUUGCCUUCUUAGGGUUUCUAAGAGGUUUUUGUUCGUAAAUAAUCGCAACUCUCCCUAAAAUCUGACCUAAGGGUCACAUUUAUAAUGUUGUCAUAUAGUACGUCAUUGUGCCACGAAAUAUUGAAUAUUGCGCUACGGAAAUGCUCCACGAAACCAUGCACUUCAGCCGAGAAUCUUCCAAAGCUGACACGUCACCGCAUCGUGGCCAAAGGAUUAUUGUGUUGUGGUGUCUUCUUCUUGUCAAUUUCCGGUCUUUGAUGCACGUCUUCAGUUUUCCGCCUUCCAACUUUGCAUUUUAGCACUUGUUCUCUCGAGAACGUCUUUGUUGCUAAAAAAACGAAAUAUAGUAUCAUUCAUAACAAAUAAUGACUAAAUCCAACUAAAAAUACUUAAAUAUUGCAUAAAAUAUAGGACUAUAUAUAGCAAUAUCAACUUCCUAGUGGCUUGAAGACAAUCCUAUCAAACAAUUUAAGCUACAAACACGAACACUUUUAGCUAUUAAUCUCACGUUUUACAACACAAACAAGUGUAUUUGUGUUUCUAUCUCGAUGGGUAAACUAUACACUACGUCUCCUCUCAAAUUUAGUUGAGGGUAUGAGGGUAUCACCAAAUCAUCCUAAAUUCAUAUGGCAUCUUCGAUUAAAGUCGAUGCAAUUUUGAUGGGAUAGGAAUUAGGAAAGAUAACAAUAUUUAUUAUGGUGACAUGACUUUUAAUUAUUCUAUUAUAAAAUUAAUUAUUACAUUUGACAACAUGUAUGAAAAUCUUGAAAUGUGUUAGACAUAAUGAUUUAUUUCGAUAAAACUAUAGGGACAGUGGUUAAAAACUUGAUAAAUCAAAAGGCUUUUUUUAAUAAACGAAAGAUAUAGUUUUUUUUAAUAAACGAAAGAUAUAGUUUUUUUUAAUAAACGAAAGAUAUAAAAUUAAUUAUUACAUUUGACAACAUGUAAGAAUGACUUCAUAAAAGACGAGUUCAACUUUUUUUAAUAAACGAAAGAUAUAGUUUUUUUUGGUAUUGAUUAUAAAGUUAAUUAAGGAGGAUUGAUUGAAAGGCAUAUUAUUAUUUGGGAGGAUUAGAAUUUGUGGCCGCAAUGAUGUUGUACACAAAACAUGUAGGAUCCACAAAAUAAAUACUCCUUGCAUUGCGCAUCAAAAGCUUGAUUGGACUCAAAAGAAAAAAUAUUCCAUACGUUUCUUUUGAUACGAGAUGUAAUCCAAUGGAAAUCUUCAAUCACUAAUUAAAUACAAGGAAAAAAAUGUAUUUAGCUUUAUUAAAAAUAUUAAUAUUAAUUACUAACGAGAUAUAAGGCAUAUUUCAUAACUUUCGUUUAUUAAAUUUGUAUUUCUGAAACAUAUUAUAAAGUAACGUGUUUAUAUUAUUAUUUUUUUUUAAAACAGACAUUUUAAUAAUUAAAAAACAUAGUAUAAUAUGUGUUCAUAAAAAUAUAAGAUUUCUAUACAUUGAUCGGGGAACUAUGUUCCCAAAAAUAAAUUUUGCUCGUAAAAACAUGUUAUAAGAACAUUUUAACCGGUAUUUUUUAUUAAGUUUUUUUAUUAAUUUAUUAUUAUUAUUUGAAAAAGUUUUUGAAAAAAAUUACUAUAACAGAAGAAAACUUACUAAAGGUCACUACAAACACUUAUUUUUUACUCAUCUUUUAAUUUUCAUUUAGACUUUAUCUUAUUUUCAUCUCUAUAUUUAAUAACAUUAGUUUAUAACACGUGUGAACCACGGUUACAAAUAACUUUGUUAAAAAUUAGUUCUAAAGGCGAUUAACACUUUUGCGUAAAUAAUUAAUACAUCUAAACAAUUAUCAAUAACAGUCAUGCUACUAAAAACGAAAUCAAUAAGAUUUAAAAAUAAAAAUUUUGGAUUUUAUACAAAUACACCAUUUGUUUUCUUAAAUCAUAAGCGAGCAUAUUUUAUAAAGGGUUUUAGUUUAUUAUAAACAUGAUUUUUUUAUGACGUUUAUCUUGCAAGAAAAAGUUUUAUUGAAUUAGGACAAUUUCUGAAUUUUUAUUGAGAUUUUUUUUUCUUUUACAUGUUGUUCAACAUAUUUAUGCAAUAUCAUAUGAUCAUAUAAAAAAGUCUCAAUCCAAAAUGGAUAAAAAAAAUUAUGAUAGCUUGAUAUAUGGAAGGACGUUGUUAAUAGUUUUCAGUUUAGAGACGGAUAGUAGAUUGUAACAAGGUAAACAUGAAUUCAGUAUGCAUAAUAAAUCAAAAAACCCACAAAUCUUUGAAUAUUACUAUAUUAGUACCAAGAAUAAAUUUAAAAUUAAUUUAGACAUUCACCAAAAAACAAUUCAUUUUCAAAACAGUACAUUAUUUAUUAAUUAACAUCAAAACCCACCGAAAUACAUCUUAAUUAACCUCAAGACCAACACCAGGAGUCUAGGAAUGACACGUCUACUCAACCUCUUUCUCACAUGUGAUGUGACAACUUGAAAGCCAAUUUAAAAAAAAUUAAUUUCUCGCAUAAGUUCAUAAAAGUACAUUGCUAUAUGCAAGAAAUAGCAAUGUACUUAUAGUUAACGAUGAAAGUAUGCAAAACACGACCAUAUGUGUUAUUUUAUCUUAUGAUAGCAACAUAACAAAUUCAAAGUAGAAUGGUUCACCUUGAAAGAUCGGUUCUCUAAUGGCCAAUUAAUUGUUGCUUCCAUUAAAAAAGCAGUGGUGUGGCAGUGCCUUCUGAUCAGAAUGAUUCUCUGGUGCUCUUCUUGGUCAUGCUACCAUUUUUUUUCCAGUCUUCUCAAAGCAUGUUGAAAGGUAUUUUCUUAAUUAAGUUUUUAAUUAACGCUAUGG
Molecule: long non-coding RNA, 2964 nt
Filed under: Lactuca sativa (garden lettuce)
Lineage: Eukaryota; Viridiplantae; Streptophyta; Magnoliopsida; Asterales; Asteraceae
Description: long non-coding RNA (LSAT_LNC006177)
Source: RNAcentral